RNAcentral lists this long non-coding RNA (520 nucleotides) under Gossypium barbadense (sea-island cotton). RNAcentral describes it as "long non-coding RNA (GBAR_LNC013653)". The record is from RNAcentral. Lineage: Eukaryota; Viridiplantae; Streptophyta; Magnoliopsida; Malvales; Malvaceae.
AUUGAAACACCCCAUUAAUUACUUAUUCUUUUAUCUAGGCAGAAUUCUCUGAUAAAAAAGAAGGCAGCUUUUAAGAUAGAGUCUUUUACGGUUAUAGUGACAAGUGGAGAACAGAUCAAUCAGCUUUUAGCGGCUAAAAGAAGGAAAUCUUUCUUCUUGUGCUUGUGCUAGCACCUUGGAUGAAAUCCUUGUUCUUUCUUUGUUUGGGACGGAGGAUUAAAAUAAGAGCUGCGCCUCACCCCUAUUUGAAUGCCUUAUACCAUAACAUAAAAGGAACUAGAACUUCUUAAGAAACCUCUGCUCCGGUAUUGGCUGCGCUGAAAAAAGCCUUGAAUCCUUUAUAGCGAUCUCGCUACCUGCGAACAUUCUCUGGAAGUGAAGCAAUUUUAGCACAAGAGAAUGAACAGGGAAAGGGGAAUGCAUUAUACUACUUAAGCCGACGAUUCGUAGAGGUGGAAUAAAACUAUUCGCCAAUUGAAAAAGUGUUUUGUGCCUAGCUUUGGUCUUUGUUGCAAAAAGC